CUACAGGCUUAACACAUGCAAGUCGAGGGGCAGCAUCAUCAAAGCUUGCUUUGAUGGAUGGCGACCGGCGCACGGGUGAGUAACACGUAUCCAACCUGCCGACAACACUGGGAUAGCCUUUCGAAAGAAAGAUUAAUACCGGAUGGCAUAGUUUUCCCGCAUGGGAUAAUUAUUAAAGAAUUUCGGUUGUCGAUGGGGAUGCGUUCCAUUAGGCAGUUGGCGGGGUAACGGCCCACCAAACCGACGAUGGAUAGGGGUUCUGAGAGGAAGGUCCCCCACAUUGGAACUGAGACACGGUCCAAACUCCUACGGGAGGCAGCAGUGAGGAAUAUUGGUCAAUGGACGAGAGUCUGAACCAGCCAAGUAGCGUGAAGGAUGACUGCCCUAUGGGUUGUAAACUUCUUUUAUACGGGAAUAAAGUUAGCCACGUGUGGCUUUUUGUAUGUACCGUAUGAAUAAGGAUCGGCUAACUCCGUGCCAGCAGCCGCGGUAAUACGGAGGAUCCGAGCGUUAUCCGGAUUUAUUGGGUUUAAAGGGAGCGUAGGCGGGUUGUUAAGUCAGUUGUGAAAGUUUGCGGCUCAACCGUAAAAUUGCAGUUGAUACUGGCGACCUUGAGUGCAACAGAGGUAGGCGGAAUUUCGUGGUGUAGCGGUGAAAUGCUUAGAUAUCACGAAGAACUCCGAUUGCGAAGGCAGCUUACUGGAUUGUAACUGACGCUGAUGCUCGAAAGUGUGGGUAUCAAACGGGAUUAGAUACCCUGGUAGUCCACACAGUAAACGAUGAAUACUCGCUGUUGGCGAUAUACAGUCAGCGGCCAAGCGAAAGCAUUAAGUAUUCCACCUGGGGAGUACGCCGGCAACGGUGAAACUCAAAGGAAUUGACGGGGGCCCGCACAAGCGGAGGAACAUGUGGUUUAAUUCGAUGAUACGCGAGGAACCUUACCCGGGCUUAAAUUGCAACUGACUGAACCGGAAACGGUUCUUUCUUCGGACAGUUGUGAAGGUGCUGCAUGGUUGUCGUCAGCUCGUGCCGUGAGGUGUCGGCUUAAGUGCCAUAACGAGCGCAACCCUUAUCGAUAGUUACUAGCAGGUCAUGCUGAGGACUCUAUUGAGACUGCCGUCGUAAGAUGUGAGGAAGGUGGGGAUGACGUCAAAUCAGCACGGCCCUUACGUCCGGGGCUACACACGUGUUACAAUGGGGGGUACAGAAGGCAGCUACACGGCGACGUGGUGCUAAUCCCGAAAGCCUCUCUCAGUUCGGAUUGGAGUCUGCAACCCGACUCCAUGAAGCUGGAUUCGCUAGUAAUCGCGCAUCAGCCACGGCGCGGUGAAUACGUUCCCGGGCCUUGUACACACCGCCCGUCAAGCCAUGAAAGCCGGGGGUACCUGAAGUACGUAACCGCAAGGAGCGUCCUAGGGUAAAACUGGUGAUUGGGGCUAAAU
Molecule: ribosomal RNA, 1442 nt
Filed under: uncultured organism
Description: SSU rRNA
Rfam family: Bacterial small subunit ribosomal RNA
Source: RNAcentral